AGGUCUCCAAUAACAAGGGCGGAUAGCGGGCGAUGUUUGAACGCAUUAGCUGUGCAGUAAUGCAUAAUGUAUGACAUGGUGUUUGCGUGCAGGAUGGUCUUCACCUGGCCUGUGGGCCAGAGAUUAUAGGCAGAGAGAUGGGGCAAAGAGAUGACAUUAUACCGAGGGAGAAUUUCAGUCCAUUCAUCUCUGCACCACGACUGCUGAUGGGACUCUGGCAAAAGAACCUGCUUGCGGCAAUGCGAUGAAAGAAAGUCACUUGGUUUGGAAUGACAUGAGGGUGAGUAAAUAAUGAUAGAAUUUUCAUUUUUCUUUCUUUAAACUAGAAAUAGAUUUAAGUCAUGCUCUUAGGUAUAUUCAUAUAGGUUUACUGGUGUUCUGACAGUCCUAUUUGUCUAGAAAUGUGUUUUUAAAAAUGUGUCAGAAAUUGAAAUGUAAUACAUAGAUCAACCUGAGUAUGUUGUCACAUUAUGGUGAAGCAACUUCCUUUGACCUGGUGCUGGAUACCAGCAACAAUGGAAAGUUGGAGACUGAGAAUCAAAGUCAGCCAGUGGUCAGGCUGUGAUCAUUUACAUCCACCCCUGUUCGGCUCAUUGACUCUGAUCCGACAGAGAGUUGUUAAAAAAAAGACCUCCUCCUCAUGCCCUCAUUGGGAGGAUUCCAUUUAAAAGUGAGCAUCACUGUGCCCUACACAUUCUAAAGGGCAAAGCAUUUGAAGAAAGCACUAUUAAGGGUGCAAAUUUGCAACAGCUUACUUGAAAACGUAUACCACUGCCACUUUAUUUUACACAAGAAUGUCAUCAUCAUAUAAUGCGUGUUAUUGGGAAUAUAAGGAUUCAAAUUAGAUUUUUUGCUGGUUUGUUGUGAACAAUUUUGUGACAAAAACUUACUUUAAUUCAGAUUUCUUACAAAAUAUUUGUCUCGUUGUACAAUUUGCAUGACAGUUUUUAAAUUCCCAUGUAAGUUUUCAAAUGAAAGACCAUAGGAUUUAACAUGCAUUGCUUAGACAACCUACCUGCCUUUUGGGACAGGGCCAGAUUCAUAGUCAUCAAAAAUACUGUCCUUCAUAUACACUUCAUAAAGUACAGUCAUAAAUACAAAAUUUUGCCAGAAUUCUGUCCCUAAACGUGACAUUACUGCCAUCUGCAUGAUUAUUUGUGUUCUCCACUCAAGAGGACUUAACUUUUGCCUUUGCCGGAGGCACUAUCGACAAAAUAAAUCCAUUUACCGUCACAAGACACCAUGCUGAAAUGGUCUCAUCUUUCUCAUAACUUCCCACUGGUCUCUAGCCAAACAAGCAAAGGCAACUCAUGACCUUAUUAUUGAGGAGAAAAUGGCUGUUUUCUGUUUGUUUUUGAACCAUAUGGCUCCAUUAGUGGCGUAAUGACCCUGAGGCCCCUUGAGCGUUCCACGCUGCCCCCAGUGGCCACUCAUCCACUCGCAUUGUUGAUGGUUUUUUGCAUGCUCCAAUUAGCACCCACAAAAUGCUCAUUUGCUGUCCAUGAUGUUGUGUGUCUCUGUUUGUGCACCUAUUGAUUUGCCUACACCACUGCCUUUGCACAUGUAUCAUGCAAGUGUGCAUGUCAACAGGUUAUGUGUUUUUUUAUUUUUGACUAUUCAAUUCAUGAUUCAAAGUAAUUUCUCAGUUCUCUUUUGUUUAAAUAUAUUGCAGGUUACAUGUGCACACAAUAUGGUAUUUGUUUCCCCCAAAGUAAAUUAAUGGGUCACUAGGUAACCUGAUAUAUAUCAUUAUAUAUACAAUUCCUUCUUAAUAGCACUUAAGUUGAGUCUCAAGUGUUUAUUCAUGAAUUUUCAUGAGAUUUCAGCUUGACUUUUCAUUUCUGUGUGAUGGGCUUUUUUUGGAGAGAUAUUUCAGAAUGUUGCGCAGCCUCCUCAAUUCCCUCAAGGGAUUAGAACACGGCCUUCAAACAUGAUUUGAUGUUAAUCAUUAAUUAGUGUGUUUAAUGACACUAAAUGCUUUAGUAAGAAGCUGUGUAGUGAUUCCCCUACAAGCCUGGCAUCAGCAAGGUCAGUCUACAUGGUGUUCAACGGGUGGAGAAUGAAAAACGAUGCUCUGGCGUCACAGCUAUAAAAGAAACAUAGAACUUCUGACAAAAUUUGCAUGCAGAAGAAUAGGAUUUGACAGUCAGUCAGCAUUACAUGGGUCUGAUGAAAAGAGAAUGACUCACCUGUUUGCUCAGUUUAGGGGUGUGCUGCGUCCUCUUUUGGAUUCUCAGGUGGGUGCUGCUGGUUAAUGAAUGGAAAGCCGAGAGCUCAAGAGUAGGGUCUUAAUGCCUAAUUUGAUCAUAGAUAUCACCGCAGACUCUUGGAAAGUCAAGUCAACUUCUCAUUAAACGGGUAAUUCAGCCAAAAAUGUAAAUCAUAUAAUCAUUUGCUCACCCUAUAGUCCCUCCUAAAUAAAUAUUUCAAGAAAUAAAUAAAUUAGAAACAUUUUUAUAAAUGCACCAUUUUUAUGAUGCAUUUAUUGUCUUUUUGUAGCUCGAAAGCUUCAGUUCUUAGCUAGGAUUGACCAGCAGAGAUUUUAAUAGAGCAUAGGAAUGAGUAAUUGAUGACAGAAAUUUUGUUUUUGUAUGAACAAUUCCUUUAACACAUUUCUGUUCCUGCUUUUCUCCGUGUCUUCCAUUGUUUGGAGAACUUCAACAGGACAAAGGAGUUUACUGUGGAAAGACAAAGAACAUUUCCCUGCAUAAUAGAUGAAAGAUUUACAUUUACUUUAGCAGUAUUUCAAUUAAUUAAACCCUUGAAAGGUAAAUUGUGAUUGACAUUAAUUUCCCAUUGGUUUUGGUAUGAGAACAAUGAAAAACUGUUAGCAAGGCAUAAAAACAACUUUAUACUUCAUGCGAGUUAUCUGUGAUUUAAAUGUAAUAAUCUGAUUCGCAUGUGAGACAGCUUAAUUAAAUCAGAUAUGAUUUGAAUAUCUUCUAAAGGAUGUCUUUUGUAAUGAAGGCAUAGGAAAAAUUGUCAAACGACAGUAAUUGCUGUAAAUUGAGGACUUUGUACAAGAAUAUAUUAUGGAAAUUGCAAAAGUGGUCAAAGACCAAUGAAAAUCACUUACAACAUAACUUUUUUUUUUUUAGUCUUUUCUGUCUCUACAGCUUGGUCAUAUGCUGCCUAAUAUCACAGGAUUUUGAAAUAUGAAAAUAUGACGAUUACAGGUGAAUGUGUUAGUAUUAUGUAAAAUUCCCUCUCAAGCCUCAUGCUCUCUUCAUAUUUAUCUUAACUAGCAGAUGCAUAUAUAUUUAACAUUUUAUAUGUCAUUAAUAAAAUACAUAUUUAUUAUUUAUGUUAAAAUUGUUAUUCAUGUGUUAGAUUUUGAUUUCAUUUACAUUAAUUUACUUAGCAGAUGCUAAAUGAAUAAAUGUAAUGGAAAUUAAAUCAUAUUUCACCAAACACAUUUCCAAGGCUCAGCAAAUAGUGCUUCAUAACUAUUCAUAACUAGAGAUCUGCAGCACAGAAACCUCAAGACGUGAAACAUGUCCAGUGGAUCCUAUGUCUACUGAUCUGGAGUCGAAGAUCCACUUUGUCCUCUGAAAACAGCCGUGCUGUUGUAUUGAUGUUUUUGCUCUAAGAGCUCCAGUUUGGCACGUUCACCUUGUUUCAGCUCACAGUUUCAUUAAUAUUGUUGAUCCAAUGUAGUAGUUGUGACCUUGAACAGAAUAAUGUGCUUUGGGCAGAAACGGAAGCCUUAAGAAAUUUAGAAUCUGAUGUUGUUCUUACUGAUUCACUAUUAUCUCAGGAUUUUCUUUUAGAAAAUAAGAUCUGUGGUUAACAUAUAUAUGAGUUUUGUUAUAAAACAAAUUACAUGCAGGCAAAUAUCAAAUGUGUUUGAAACUGUAAAACCUACAACAGUCUGAUUCAAUGACAAUGUAAACAAGUCUUUGUAGUAGUUGUAUUUAGCAACUGGUGACUUGAAAAAGGUUCUCUUCUAAGUUUUAAUGACUGUAAACUGAGCAGCUUUAUUUGGACCCAAGAAUUAUUUAUUUUGCAUGAAAAAUUAAUGUAACGUUUUUUGAUGAACUGAAAAAUACAAAAAUUAGGGUAAAUUUAGUUUACAACUUAAAGCUAAAAUAAAUCUUACUUUGUAGUUUAGGUCUAUUAAAUCUUAAAAAUCAUGUUUUUCAUUUUUUUAUUAUAUCGGCCUUGCCUACAUACCAGUCUGCUACGAUAAGCGCUUAUAAUGAAGAUGGACUUACCAAAGUUUCCAAGGUUCAUGGCUUUAAAUGUUGGUUAAACAGCCUGUUUCUUUUCUAAAUAGGUUUAGAAUGAGCAGUAGUGUUUGGCUACUUAAGAUUAUUUAAUGCUAGCAAAUGUCACUUCAGCUAGCCUAUAACUUGCACUUUGCAUUGUGCUUAUAACAAAACAUAUACAUUAUGUAAAUGCACUGACCCAAAAGUGCCCUUAAAACUUCCCUGCCUUCUCCACCCUCUUGUGAAAUCCCACUCGUGCUGUAAUUAUUGGAUAUGCAAAGCUGAGCAGAUAAGGCUCGGAGUCGUUGUUUAAUGCAAUUACAGAAGGCCUUUAAUAGAGGUAAUGGGAGGCUGAUUGGGGAGCUUUGUUAGACUGUGGGGUGUUGGUGUGAUGACCUGUGAUUAUCCAGGCUGUGUGUUGACUGGAAGGAGACCCCCUACCCAGCAGCAGCCAGGGAAGCCCACCACAUCAUUACAGUGAGUUGUUUUGUCAUGGAGGUAGAGCUAAACCCUCAUUAGAGCCAGUUGUUCUCACAACUGCCUUUCCUCCCUUUCUCUUUCUCUCUCUUUUGUUUUUGAACUGUGAGUACAGUCCUUAGCCACUCACCACCACACACAUCAACACACAUGCUCUUACUACACUAAUAAUCACCUGUAACAACAAAAGAUAGAUGGUAAGCACACAUACUUUUGGGAAGCCUAAACUAACCUGUCCAUUAUUGUAUGCGCACACAUUGAGACAGUUUUUUUUAUUAAUACAGGUUUUGAUUCGAUUUUUAGAGUGAAUGACUUAUAUUGUGUUAUAUUUUAUUUUGUGUCAGUUAGUUUUGUCUCAACCGUACGGAUGGCCCAGGACCUGUGUGAGAGUAUUUACGGCCAGUUCAUGGAGCUGUCACUUACCCAGUCUGGCGAAUGCUGCAUUGAUCCUAUAUGCAACCGCUGCUGCAGCCAAGAGGCCCAGCCAUGCAUGCAGAAUCCCACCUGCCAUUUGUAAAGGAGGGCGUGUGUGUUUAUGUGCAUGCAUGUAAAACUGGAUGCUGUGCAUGUGUGAACUGGAUCAAAAUGCCUUCCUGAUUCAGGGAUACUGAGGUGUGUGCGCCGCUCCUUGCAUCUCCAUCUGUCUUACGAAGACGACUGCUGUGUGAUGAUAUAUCGGCUGUUGGAUUCUGCACGUAUGUGUCUGUAUAUGCGCACGAAGAAGCGAACGAAUGGAUCUUGAUUACAUUUGCAAGGCAUGAGCUGAAGUGAAGGUCUGAAUGAGAUGCUCGGUGCUCAGCGUUAAUGGCAUAGGAGCCUGAUGAUUCUCUGAAUGCAAGAGAAGCAUUUUCUUUUAUGUCAGUUGAUGGACUGGAGUCAUGUAUACCAGCUGUUUGGGCUUGUUCUGACGGCACCCAUUCACUGCAGAGGAUCCAUUGGUGAGCAAGUGAUAUAAUGCUACAUUUCCUCAAAACUGUUCCAAUGAAGAAAUGCUCAUCUACAGCUUGGAUGGCCUUAUAUAGAUGUGUUUGAUUGGAGAUGAGGGGGAGGCGUGCUGACGUUGACCCAGAAGUGAAGUGAUGCGUGGAGGACAGACAGCAGUAACAGCAAGAGAGAACAGGUUGCUUAACAGUUGCUUUUCUACAGGCCAAAUUAAAGUCAUUUUGUGACUGACAUGACUAAUUCAGUACUCCGCAAGCUGGCUGUUGAUUGGUUCCCCUCAGGCCUGCCACAGACAGCAUCAGGAUACAGAACUGUUUCCCAUUCAUGGUACUCUCAGAUGAGACGGAGGAUUCAGGGCUGGAUUAGCAGUGUUGACAGAUGGUGGAAAACAGCAAGUGCUGAGGAGAGAUAUUCAAAUCUGAUCUUGGAGAAUGUGAGGAGGGUUUCUGGCCAGAGCAAAGCCUCUUGCAGAGAGAAAGAUAAAGAGCGGAAGGGGAAAAACUGAGGUUGGGAGAGCCACCUGAAUUGUAUUCCAGCUCGUUAUGGAGUGGGUUGAGCACUAUAUAAAAGAUCCAAAAACCUCCAAACACUGAGAGAGAGAGACUGAGGCUUGCUUCUGAGAUUUACUGUCAUCGUCAGGUUCCAGCACUUGUCACUUUCAGAGUGUUUUGUUGUAACUCGUGGGGUGGUGAAAACACUAAAGAAGGUAUGCUGUGUGCUAACUUCUUUAGAGUAUGGUAACUCUGUGUGAACAGUUGCCAUUAAUAGUUGGAGUGUUACAGUAACCCCUAGUUGUACGCAGUUGUGCUAUGUUGGCCUGUGUGGCCAGAUUUACCAUUAAGAAUAUGUUUGUCAACUUUGUUCUGUUGUUAUUGUGAUCAUUUGUAAGGGAAGAGGAUGCUCUCCCUGCACAUUUUUGUAAUGCUUUCCCCCAGCCCCUAGACUAGAAAGGGGGGGAACGUAACAAUAGUAAAGAAACUUACAGUUGACCUAUUAACAGGUUUUUACCAUAUCAUUUUUAGCCUCUUACUAUCAAAAUGAAUAUCAAAACUAUUACUAUGGUGAUUAUUUUAUUUUACAAAAAAAGAAUCAUAUUGGAGAGUAAAAGAGUGCAAACUUUAUGAAAUACUGGAGAUAGUGGACCGCCCGGUCUGAGACUGAAGAAUGAAACGAGUGAAGCAGACCUGUGCCGCCUGUCUCCUAAUAAACGGGCACCAGAUCCUGGGCUCCAGCCAGAGGGGAGCCCUGCCACCCAAACCGCCACCUCUCCCUGAUCCCCAGAGCCUAGCAGGGAGGCGAACUGCCACACGGCGUCUGACAGAAAGACCGAGAGAGCAAAGCCAGCGGGCCAUAUGUGUCUGGUUGUGAGAGGAACUCAAACCACAGACUGUCCAACACAGAAAUGCUGCAGCUGCCCAGCUCUUCCUUGUGGCAGAAUUAAUGGAGCGCUCGGUGUGGAGAGAGGUGAAAAAGUCACAACUAAGUAGUAAAAUGCCUUCUUGAUGGAUAUAUUGAUUUGUACAUGUAAGAGAUAUAUUUCUUUCAUCAAAUUUACAUUGUAGUCCCAGCUUGUAGUAUAUUAUUUAAUUACAGUAAAAGUUUAAUCAAGUUAUAUUUGGCUAUUCUGAAAUACUAAACCAUGCAAAAGAAGUGGUAGCUCUUCUUUGUUAAUUACAAAGGGUAGCAGUGAUUAAUGCACAUUUUAUGAAAUAUAUUUUAGGUGUGUUUUGUAUGUAAUCUGCUUCCCAACUCUAGGUAAAAAAAAAACAAUUAGGAAAGUUCAAGAUAAAAAGAUAUCUAAGAUAAGUUAUUUAAAAUUCUAAUGUGGCAACUGAAAUAUAAAAUCACAAUUACGACUGAUGAGAAAACUGCAUAUUAUGAGCAAUAAGGUUGCAUCUGUGGUGUAUAAAGUGAUAAAAUCAUUUUGAAAUAUAAAUUUGCAAUUAUAAAAAUAAAAAAUUUUUGUUUGCUUGAUAGCCAUUUUGUUUGAUAUAAUUAUAUUAUAAUUAUUGUUAUAAUUAAAAUUAUAAAUGCAAAUACAUUUACACAACAGUCUACGAUAGCAAGUGGCGUAUAUUAUUUUAUUAUUAUUAUUUUAAAUAUUUAGCUCAAACACACUUUUUCUCAGUAAAUGUAAUGCAAACUAAAUAUUUUGUAACUAUUUUUUGGUGUGAUCCAAGUGUCCAAAAUACAUCUUUAUUAUGUUAGUAAUUGGUUACACACUAGUCUUUAGAAAUCUGAUAUUGGUGAAUGUAUGAAGAUACUUGUUCAACAGCAGUGUACAGUCAUAUGUCCAUAUCAAGAGAGCUCUGUCUAGCUGUUGAAUGUAUUCAUGUUCCAUUACAUGGUAAAUGACAUAAAUCCUCAACUUCAGAGCAAAUGUAUGCCAGAUUGUGAAAUGCAUUGCAUAAUAACUAGUCACAUAUGGCAUCAUGCCAGAUGUUUACAGAAGACAGCAGUCAGAUGGCGGAUAUGUGUGUUACUCAUCUGCUGUGUCUUUCCACAGCAGAUACCUCAUAAGGUGAAGUCGUCGUGUAAUGAAGACAUAAGCCCCAUCAGUUAGAUUCAAUAUCAGAUGCAUCAAAACCCCUGCCUUUUUUAGGAGACUGUGGGUAGUAGAGGAAUUUUUAAAGAGGAGGCUGAUGAUUCAUGAUGCAGAUUCUCUUCCUUAACUGGGCUUUUGCCUCAUUAAAUCCUUAACGGUGUGAAGCGACUUGGAAUGACCUCAUGGCUUUAUCACACCCCUCGCCCCUUUUGCCCUUCAGCUCAGCAUUGAGCCCUGCCCACCCCAAGGACAUAGACCACCGUUAAGCCCUGCCCACCCCAAUGCCACAGGCCACAAACCGAGGUCAAUCAUCCAUGGGGUGAAUCAGAGCACCCACAUCCAUAUUCAUUUGUUAUAAUGAAUCCUACGCCACAUUUUAACAUUAUAAAUGCCACUGCAGUCAAAUUCCGUAUGAAGUUAUACCGUCUUGACAAAUGUUUUUUAUGUGAAUAUGGCUGUAGUUUUUGUUUCAGGGAUGAUAAAUGAAACAAAAGAAUAUUUGCUUACUUUUUAGUUAUGUUUUCUUCAUGUGGCUCUUCUUCAUCUUCGGCAUUUUUUUGGACUUUUUACAGACACCUGAUGGCCUGGAUGUGUGAAGUUUAACUGCUGCUGCCUUUUACCAAAAACUAUUUGUUUAUCUUUUUUUCAACUAUUUUGAGUUGGAAUUUGAAAUGAGGUGGUCACAUCUCGCAGUUAGUGUAACUAGAAUUAAAGGAAGUUAGCACAGGAAAUAGUUUUCUGGGAAAUGAAGUUCUUUAUCUAUUUAUAUGUUUAUCUGAUCAGGCCUAGAAUCUUUAUACUUCAAGAAUUGUUAAACAUCUUAAACUUUUAGACAAGACUUCCGAAAGGACGAGACUUUCAAUGUUUGUUUAGAUGAAUCUUCCUUUUCUAGUUAUGCUUUUGGUUAAAGAUACAUUCAUUAAAUUUUUUUUGUGUUUCUUCUUAAGUUUCUGUAUUUCAAACACCUGUUUGUAUAUCUGUCUGUAAGGUUUAUAAAACCUUUGCACUGCAAAAACUUUGUGAAUCCAUCACUCAAAGUUUGUCAAAGCUCUCUACUUAAAAAUGACUUGUUUUUUUGGAUUUCAGUUCAUUUAAUGCUACAUCUGAAUUGUAAUUCUGCAUCCUGUUUGCUACCUAGAUUCAAAAUCGAUUCUAAUGUAAAAACAACCUGCUACUUGAUGCUUGUUUUCUGUGUUCAGUGGUUGUAUUGUGUGUGUAAUAUGUAUAUUGAUUGUUAAUAUAUUGUUUAUUUUGAUUGUUGUCUUUAGAUGUAAUUUAUUUAAAUGUCUUAGCUGAAAGCACCAUAUAACACUAUUUAUUUUUGUUUUAUCAAUGCGCUGAGACAAUAGGAUUUUCAAGAUGAAUGAUAUGACUGGACUCUUCCUCUCAUCCAAGGAGAGGGUGUGCUUAAUGCAAUAAUCUACUGGAAGUUUCCGUGCCUCAUUCUGAAUCUCAACUUUUGUGUGAGUAAUCACGCUGGCAUUCACGCUCAUUGAGGCUAACUGAUCAAAUUCUUAUCAAAAAGGUGC
This is a long non-coding RNA of Carassius gibelio (silver crucian carp), 9701 nucleotides long. RefSeq lists it as uncharacterized. The record is from RefSeq and is a predicted model, not a curated record. Lineage: Eukaryota; Metazoa; Chordata; Actinopteri; Cypriniformes; Cyprinidae. The transcript has 11 exons.